UCAUGGCUCAGAUGAACGCUGGCGGCAGGCCUAACACAUGCAAGUCGAACGGUAACAGGAAGCAGCUUGCUGCUUCGCUGACGAGUGGCGGACGGGUGAGUAAUGUCUGGGAAGCUGCCUGAUGGAGGGGGAUAACUACUGGAAACGGUAGCUAAUACCGCAUAAUGUCGCAAGACCAAAGAGGGGGACCUUCGGGCCUCUUGCCAUCGGAUGUGCCCAGAUGGGAUUAGCUUGUUGGUGGGGUAACGGCUCACCAAGGCGACGAUCCCUAGCUGGUCUGAGAGGAUGACCAGCCACACUGGAACUGAGACACGGUCCAGACUCCUACGGGAGGCAGCAGUGGGGAAUAUUGCACAAUGGGCGCAAGCCUGAUGCAGCCAUGCCGCGUGUAUGAAGAAGGCCUUCGGGUUGUAAAGUACUUUCAGCGGGGAGGAAGGGAGUAAAGUUAAUACCUUUGCUCAUUGACGUUACCCGCAGAAGAAGCACCGGCUAACUCCGUGCCAGCAGCCGCGGUAAUACGGAGGGUGCAAGCGUUAAUCGGAAUUACUGGGCGUAAAGCGCACGCAGGCGGUUUGUUAAGUCAGAUGUGAAAUCCCCGGGCUCAACCUGGGAACUGCAUCUGAUACUGGCAAGCUUGAGUCUCGUAGAGGGGGGUAGAAUUCCAGGUGUAGCGGUGAAAUGCGUAGAGAUCUGGAGGAAUACCGGUGGCGAAGGCGGCCCCCUGGACGAAGACUGACGCUCAGGUGCGAAAGCGUGGGGAGCAAACAGGAUUAGAUACCCUGGUAGUCCACGCCGUAAACGAUGUCGACUUGGAGGUUGUGCCCUUGAGGCGUGGCUUCCGGAGCUAACGCGUUAAGUCGACCGCCUGGGGAGUACGGCCGCAAGGUUAAAACUCAAAUGAAUUGACGGGGGCCCGCACAAGCGGUGGAGCAUGUGGUNUAAUUCGAUGCAACGCGAAGAACCUUACCUGGUCUUGACAUCCACGGAAGUUUUCAGAGAUGAGAAUGUGCCUUCGGGAACCGUGAGACAGGUGCUGCAUGGCUGUCGUCAGCUCGUGUUGUGAAAUGUUGGGUUAAGUCCCGCAACGAGCGCAACCCUUAUCCUUUGUUGCCAGCGGUCCGGCCGGGAACUCAAAGGAGACUGCCAGUGAUAAACUGGAGGAAGGUGGGGAUGACGUCAAGUCAUCAUGGCCCUUACGACCAGGGCUACACACGUGCUACAAUGGCGCAUACAAAGAGAAGCGACCUCGCGAGAGCAAGCGGACCUCAUAAAGUGCGUCGUAGUCCGGAUUGGAGUCUGCAACUCGACUCCAUGAAGUCGGAAUCGCUAGUAAUCGUGGAUCAGAAUGCCACGGUGAAUACGUUCCCGGGCCUUGUACACACCGCCCGUCACACCAUGGGAGUGGGUUGCAAAAGAAGUAGGUAGCUUAACCUUCGGGAGGGCGCUUACCACUUUGUGAUUCAUGACUGGGGUGAAGUCGUAACAAGGU
This 1489-nucleotide ribosomal RNA is filed under the name uncultured bacterium. RNAcentral's name for it is "bacterial SSU rRNA". It matches the Rfam family "Bacterial small subunit ribosomal RNA". The record is from RNAcentral.